CUACGUAGGUGGCAAGCGUUAUCCGGAUUUACUGGGUGUAAAGGGCGCGUAGGCGGGGGUGCAAGUCAGAUGUGAAAUCUAUGGGCUUAACUCAUAAACUGCAUUUGAAACUGUAUCUCUUGAGUGCUGGAGAGGUAGACGGAAUUCCUUGCGUAGCGGUAAAAUGCGUAGAUAUUAGGAGGAACACCAGUGGCGAAGGCGACUUUCUGGACUGUACCUGACGCUGAGGCGCGAAAGCGUGGGGAGCGAACAGGAUUAGAUACCCUGGUAGUCCGCGCAGUAAACGAUGAUGACUAACUGCCGGCCCGUUGCGGGUCGGUGGCCAAGCGAAAGCGAUAAGUCAUCCACCUGGGGAGUACGACCGCAAGGUUGAAACUCAAAGGAAUUGACGGG
RNAcentral lists this ribosomal RNA (393 nucleotides) under uncultured bacterium. Its description in RNAcentral is "partial 16S ribosomal RNA". It matches the Rfam family "Bacterial small subunit ribosomal RNA", at positions 523 to 917 of the family's 1533-position model. The record is from RNAcentral.